This 40-nucleotide small RNA is filed under the name Arabidopsis thaliana (thale cress). RNAcentral describes it as "ATSL030260". Lineage: Eukaryota; Viridiplantae; Streptophyta; Magnoliopsida; Brassicales; Brassicaceae. The record is from RNAcentral.
AAAAAAAAAGGCCUGAAGGAAUGAACAAAUGAAAGUUAAA